CCUACGGGAGGCAGCAGUGGGGAAUAUUGCACAAUGGGGGGAACCCUGAUGCAGCGACGCCGCGUGAGUGAAGAAGUAUUUCGGUAUGUAAAGCUCUAUCAGCAGGGAAGAAAAUGACGGUACCUGACUAAGAAGCCCCGGCUAACUACGUGCCAGCAGCCGCGGUAAUACGUCGGGGGCAAGCGUUAUCCGGAUUUACUGGGUGUAAAGGGAGCGUAGACGGUUAUGCAAGUCUGAAGUGAAAGCCCAAGGUUCAACCAUGGGACUGCUUUGGAACAUGUAAAACUGGAGUGCAGGAGAGGGAAGCGGAAUUCCUGGUGUAGCGGUGAAAGGCGUAGAUACUAGGAGGAACACCAGUGGCGAAGGCGGCUUACUGGAAUGUAACUGACGUUGAGGCCCGAAGGCGUGGGGAGCAAACAGGAUUAGAGACCCGAGUAGUC
This 440-nucleotide ribosomal RNA is filed under the name uncultured bacterium. RNAcentral's name for it is "partial 16S ribosomal RNA". It matches the Rfam family "Bacterial small subunit ribosomal RNA", at positions 338 to 795 of the family's 1533-position model. The record is from RNAcentral.